RNAcentral lists this long non-coding RNA (2456 nucleotides) under Homo sapiens (human). RNAcentral's name for it is "HSALNT0018084". Lineage: Eukaryota; Metazoa; Chordata; Mammalia; Primates; Hominidae. The record is from RNAcentral.
GGAAGGUGCCCAGGAAGAGAGGUAAAGGAAUGACAAUGAAGGCUACUCUAUCCAGCAUUCAUCUCUUGGGUUGAGCUGUGAGCUCCAUGAGAACUCAGAUGAAAUGACUUUGCACCGUCACAGGAACUUGUCAGGGAAGCUCACCAUUGUCUCUGAUGUUAACAACUGUUGAUCCAAGCCUGCCCAGUUUCCUACCUCCAGUCUUCCCUGGCCCUCCUCUGAAGAUGGAAACUAAGCCAACAGGCUCAGAACUUCCUAUCCUCUCUUCCUAUCUCCAAGGAAAUAGCAGCUCACAGCAGAAGAGUGCAGGGGGAGAGGGAACAGUUAUUUCUCAAGCCAUUAAUACAGUUCUUCUUACACGACUCUGCCUCCUGGCCCACAGUGAUGGACCCAUGGUUGGGAAUGGACCACACAGUGGGCCAGCUGUAAAGCCUGGGUAAGGGAUGGACAUCUGACCCAAGUAGGGACAGUGCAGUACGUGCUUGGAAUUGAUGACCUAGGGACCAAAGAGUAGUGCUCAUUGUCUCUUUGUGGCGGGGUUAGCAGCUCUGAAGUCAUCGGGAUGGCGUUUCCCACCAGAUAGAGGAAGCUGGCCUGUAGCUGAAGGACUGACACCCACACCCAGAGCUGCAGAGAGAGGGGGGCGUAACAGCAGCAUGCCAGAUCCAUUUCCAGCUCUUCUGAGGUGCAGCCACACCUUGACCUUCCUGCAGUCCUCUUAGCCUUCCAAAUACAUUUUCCUUUGAGUGUAAAUGAGUUUAAGGUUCAGAGUCCAUCUGACUUUAGUGGAGCCAUGGAGACUCUUGCUGGAACUGUGCAGCCCAUCUUUGCAUUUUCUUUUGAGUGGCAUCGUCCAGUGAAGAGGAAGAAUAAAUGAGGUGAAAGGAGAGAGGCCACUAGCAGGGAACUCUAGCUCUGAUUUCCUGGCAGCAAAAUCUGCUCCUCUUGCCAGAGGGGCACUUGGGGCUUUACUGUUUGGCCUCUUCCCACUGCUCAUAUCUGUUUCUUGAUAUUCCUCCAAAAUGUACCAGUCCUUCUAAGACCAGACAUCAGGACUCUGAGUUCUUCCAGGGAGUGACAUAGAAAGAGAGGCUUCUUUUUCUCUCCUAUUCUCUUCAUUCCUGCAACCCAACCCUGUAUCUUUCCAUCGUGCCAAGGAAGCAUCACACACACUGCUCCAUAGUCCCUACUCCAUAGUCCUCACAGGCAGGGCCUCCUGUCCUCCCAUCUGCCUGGCAUCACCCAGUACACAGGUCCCAGUGGCGCGUCCUGAUGCCUGGGCUCACCAGCUUUCAAGUAGGAGACCAGAGAACUCACUGGGAAGUGGGUGUAAAAUAUGUUUAGUGCCCACAUUAACAUUUCAUUCUGGUUAUGCACCAUCAAGGGGCCAGAGAGCAGAUGGGAUAAUUAAAAUCUCAAGACAAUUGGUUUUAACUUCCUUCCCCAUUAGACCUUUCACCAGUGCAAUUAAUUUCCCUAUUUUUCUCCUUUUAUUUUCUUUAAUCAACCUCUGUUUAGGGAGCUAAUGAGCCAUGACAAGAACAAAAGGCCAGCAGCCAAGAGGAGGGGGAAAUAGGAGCUGGCAGACCAGACCGGACUGCGGCUCCUGAGCUGGUUGUUUCCCUUCUCAAAGGCGCAAGUAAGGUGUCGCUGUCCUUUACUCCGCUCAAAACUUUAGGCCUCCUCUGCGAGGCUGCUCCCCUCCAUGGCACCCACCCACAGGGCAGAAAUGCAGAAAGCAAGGCUUUGCCUCUAGGGUGGGAGGGGAGGGAGGAGCUGGUUCCCAAGGGAACAAGGAAUCCCGUUUGAGAGACUAGGAUGUUCUCAGCCUCAGAACUGGCUUGCGAGCUGGCCAAACAUGCAAAUACCCACAGGUGCAGCAUGUAAAAGAGAAGUGGCCUUGGGUGAGGCUGCAGGGGCAGCUGGCCGCACAUUUUGCAUAUGCUCCUAGGAAGCUAAAGUUAGGCUCUGGUUUACCCCAGGUGUAGGGGCCACAUUUAGCUAUUCCUCACCACUGAGCAAGGGGCUUGCUGCAUUAUUUGGCUAGGGCAGGGUCUGGCUUGCCCUCUGAGUCCUGAAUUGGGUCCCGGGCCAUUGCUGUAUUUGGGUAAGGUUAGGGUAAUCACAACUACUCUUUCCCUUCCCCCAACCAAGUCUGAACAUCAUCGAUUUAACACCUAAGAUGGACUUGAAGGAUUGUCUCCAUCCCAGAGCUAAGACAUCACCAGGAUUCCAUACUAGCAGACCCCAAUCUGGUUUGCUCAUGGACUUCGCCUGUACCAUUUCUCCUAACCAGUCUUCUACAGCAUCACUUGCUCUGCUUGGCACCCUGCCAGCCUCUGACCCCUAGAUGGGCCUUCCUUUUUGUGGCCCAGCCUCAUCCCCAUACCCGAUGCUCUGCUUCUCUGGCCUCCCAUUUUUCUCUCUUCUUUGGCCACAGUUUGAAUUCCUAUUCC